RNAcentral lists this ribosomal RNA (855 nucleotides) under uncultured organism. Its description in RNAcentral is "bacterial SSU rRNA". It matches the Rfam family "Bacterial small subunit ribosomal RNA", at positions 25 to 875 of the family's 1533-position model. The record is from RNAcentral.
CAGGAUGAACGCUAGCGGCAGGCUUAACACAUGCAAGUCGAGGGGUAAGUCCCGCUUCGGCGGGAACACGACCGGCGCACGGGUGAGUAUCGCGUAUGCAACCUGCCCUUAACUGGAGAAUAGCUCCCGGAAACGGGAAUUAAUACUCCAUAAUAUCCCGGAAAUGCAUGUUUCCGGGAUCAAAGCUCCGGCGGUUAAGGAUGGGCAUGCGUGGCAUUAGCUUGUUGGUGAGGUAACGGCUCACCAAGGCUCUGAUGCCUAGGGGGUCUGAGAGGAUGAUCCCCCACACUGGUACUGAGACACGGACCAGACUCCUACGGGAGGCAGCAGUGAGGAAUAUUGGGCAAUGGACGAAAGUCUGACCCAGCCAUGCCGCGUGCAGGAUGACAGCCCUACGGGUUGUAAACUGCUUUUGUACAAGAAGAACCCCCCCGAUGUAUCGGGGGCUGACGGUAUUGUACGAAUAAGCAUCGGCUAACUCCGUGCCAGCAGCCGCGGUAAUACGGAGGAUGCAGGCGUUAUCCGGAUUUAUUGGGUUUAAAGGAUGUGUAGGCGGGGCAGUAAGUCAGUGGUGAAAUCCUGCGGCUUAACCGUAGAAUUGCCGUUGAUACUGCUGUUCUUGAGUAAUAGUUGAGGUGGGCGGAAUGUGUAAUGUAGCGGUGAAAUGCCAUAGAUAUUACACAGAACACCGAUUGCGAAGGCAGCUCACUAAGCUAUCACUGACGCUGAGGCACCGAAAGCCGUGGGGAACGAACAGGAUUAGAUACCCUGGUAGUCCACGCUGUAAACGAUGAUUACUUCGAUGUGUGCGAUAUACUGUACGCGUCCGAGCGAAAGCAUUAAGUAAUCCACCUG